GGGUUGUGAGGUUAAGCGACUAAGCGUACACGGUGGAUGCCCUGGCAGUCAGAGGCGAUGAAGGACGUGCUAAUCUGCGAUAAGCGUCGGUAAGGUGAUAUGAACCGUUAUAACCGGCGAUUUCCGAAUGGGGAAACCCAGUGUGUUUCGACACACUAUCAUUAACUGAAUCCAUAGGUUAAUGAGGCGAACCGGGGGAACUGAAACAUCUAAGUACCCCGAGGAAAAGAAAUCAACCGAGAUUCCCCCAGUAGCGGCGAGCGAACGGGGAGCAGCCCAGAGCCUGAAUCAGUGUGUGUGUUAGUGGAAGCGUCUGGAAAGGCGCGCGAUACAGGGUGACAGCCCCGUACACAAAAAUGCACAUAUUGUGAGCUCGAUGAGUAGGGCGGGACACGUGGUAUCCUGUCUGAAUAUGGGGGGACCAUCCUCCAAGGCUAAAUACUCCUGACUGACCGAUAGUGAACCAGUACCGUGAGGGAAAGGCGAAAAGAACCCCGGCGAGGGGAGUGAAAAAGAACCUGAAACCGUGUACGUACAAGCAGUGGGAGCACGCUUAGGCGUGUGACUGCGUACCUUUUGUAUAAUGGGUCAGCGACUUAUAUUCUGUAGCAAGGUUAACCGAAUAGGGGAGCCGAAGGGAAACCGAGUCUUAACUGGGCGUUAAGUUGCAGGGUAUAGACCCGAAACCCGGUGAUCUAGCCAUGGGCAGGUUGAAGGUUGGGUAACACUAACUGGAGGACCGAACCGACUAAUGUUGAAAAAUUAGCGGAUGACUUGUGGCUGGGGGUGAAAGGCCAAUCAAACCGGGAGAUAGCUGGUUCUCCCCGAAAGCUAUUUAGGUAGCGCCUCGUGAAUUCAUCUCCGGGGGUAGAGCACUGUUUCGGCAAGGGGGUCAUCCCGACUUACCAACCCGAUGCAAACUGCGAAUACCGGAGAAUGUUAUCACGGGAGACACACGGCGGGUGCUAACGUCCGUCGUGAAGAGGGAAACAACCCAGACCGCCAGCUAAGGUCCCAAAGUCAUGGUUAAGUGGGAAACGAUGUGGGAAGGCCCAGACAGCCAGGAUGUUGGCUUAGAAGCAGCCAUCAUUUAAAGAAAGCGUAAUAGCUCACUGGUCGAGUCGGCCUGCGCGGAAGAUGUAACGGGGCUAAACCAUGCACCGAAGCUGCGGCAGCGACGCUGAUGCGUUGUUGGGUAGGGGAGCGUUCUGUAAGCCUGCGAAGGUGUGCUGUGAGGCAUGCUGGAGGUAUCAGAAGUGCGAAUGCUGACAUAAGUAACGAUAAAGCGGGUGAAAAGCCCGCUCGCCGGAAGACCAAGGGUUCCUGUCCAACGUUAAUCGGGGCAGGGUGAGUCGACCCCUAAGGCGAGGCCGAAAGGCGUAGUCGAUGGGAAACAGGUUAAUAUUCCUGUACUUGGUGUUACUGCGAAGGGGGGACGGAGAAGGCUAUGUUGGCCGGGCGACGGUUGUCCCGGUUUAAGCGUGUAGGCUGGUUUUCCAGGCAAAUCCGGAAAAUCAAGGCUGAGGCGUGAUGACGAGGCACUACGGUGCUGAAGCAACAAAUGCCCUGCUUCCAGGAAAAGCCUCUAAGCAUCAGGUAACAUCAAAUCGUACCCCAAACCGACACAGGUGGUCAGGUAGAGAAUACCAAGGCGCUUGAGAGAACUCGGGUGAAGGAACUAGGCAAAAUGGUGCCGUAACUUCGGGAGAAGGCACGCUGAUAUGUAGGUGAAGUCCCUUGCGGAUGGAGCUGAAAUCAGUCGAAGAUACCAGCUGGCUGCAACUGUUUAUUAAAAACACAGCACUGUGCAAACACGAAAGUGGACGUAUACGGUGUGACGCCUGCCCGGUGCCGGAAGGUUAAUUGAUGGGGUCAGCGCAAGCGAAGCUCUUGAUCGAAGCCCCGGUAAACGGCGGCCGUAACUAUAACGGUCCUAAGGUAGCGAAAUUCCUUGUCGGGUAAGUUCCGACCUGCACGAAUGGCGUAAUGAUGGCCAGGCUGUCUCCACCCGAGACUCAGUGAAAUUGAACUCGCUGUGAAGAUGCAGUGUACCCGCGGCAAGACGGAAAGACCCCGUGAACCUUUACUAUAGCUUGACACUGAACAUUGAGCCUUGAUGUGUAGGAUAGGUGGGAGGCUUAGAAGUGUGGACGCCAGUCUGCAUGGAGCCGACCUUGAAAUACCACCCUUUAAUGUUUGAUGUUCUAACGUUGACCCGUAAUCCGGGUUGCGGACAGUGUCUGGUGGGUAGUUUGACUGGGGCGGUCUCCUCCUAAAGAGUAACGGAGGAGCACGAAGGUUGGCUAAUCCUGGUCGGACAUCAGGAGGUUAGUGCAAUGGCAUAAGCCAGCUUGACUGCGAGCGUGACGGCGCGAGCAGGUGCGAAAGCAGGUCAUAGUGAUCCGGUGGUUCUGAAUGGAAGGGCCAUCGCUCAACGGAUAAAAGGUACUCCGGGGAUAACAGGCUGAUACCGCCCAAGAGUUCAUAUCGACGGCGGUGUUUGGCACCUCGAUGUCGGCUCAUCACAUCCUGGGGCUGAAGUAGGUCCCAAGGGUAUGGCUGUUCGCCAUUUAAAGUGGUACGCGAGCUGGGUUUAGAACGUCGUGAGACAGUUCGGUCCCUAUCUGCCGUGGGCGCUGGAGAACUGAGGGGGGCUGCUCCUAGUACGAGAGGACCGGAGUGGACGCAUCACUGGUGUUCGGGUUGUCAUGCCAAUGGCACUGCCCGGUAGCUAAAUGCGGAAGAGAUAAGUGCUGAAAGCAUCUAAGCACGAAACUUGCCCCGAGAUGAGUUCUCCCUGACUCCUUGAGAGUCCUGAAGGAACGUUGAAGACGACGACGUUGAUAGGCCGGGUGUGUAAGCGCAGCGAUGCGUUGAGCUAACCGGUACUAAUGAACCGUGAGGCUUAACCUUACAACGCCGAAGGUGUUU
This 2931-nucleotide ribosomal RNA is filed under the name Escherichia coli. Its description in RNAcentral is "23S ribosomal RNA". It matches the Rfam family "Bacterial large subunit ribosomal RNA". Lineage: Bacteria; Pseudomonadati; Pseudomonadota; Gammaproteobacteria; Enterobacterales; Enterobacteriaceae. The record is from RNAcentral.